This is a long non-coding RNA of Homo sapiens (human), 565 nucleotides long. RefSeq annotates it as DYNLRB2 antisense RNA 1. Lineage: Eukaryota; Metazoa; Chordata; Mammalia; Primates; Hominidae. The transcript has 6 exons. The record is from RefSeq and is marked validated.
GACAUCUGGGUGGAAGUCACCAGUGCCUGCACAUGGAACUAUGAAGAUCACCAUUUUUCAGAUUAAGAAACUGAGGCUCACAUUGUGAAAUAACACUCUCUGGAAAGCUGACUCAGAAAUUGGAAUGAGUUGUCUGUGGAUCCUGUAAGGAGCCUGGACAUGGUGAAGAGAAUGCCUUGACCAUCAGGAGACAGCUUAGCUUGUUGAAUCUUGAUCACUUCUUCUGACCGCUUUGGAUCUUAAAAGAACAAGGUCGAGGAGUUUCGCAGACAUAACUCCUUGGGAGCAGUGCCCAGGUCAAGAAAGAAAAUGUGGCCAAUGCCCCAGGAUCUUAUUUGGUCAUCCAGGCUGGACUGCAGUGGUGUGAUCAUAGCUCACUGCAGCCUCAAACUGCUGGACUCCAGUGAUCUUCCAGCCUCAGCCUCCCCCGGUAGCAAGGACUACAGGGUCCCAGAAGGAACCAACGCUGCCCACACCUUAAUUUGAGACUUCUGGCCUCUGAGAAAUGAGAAAGAGUCUCACUCUCUGUCGCCCAGCCUGGAGUGCAGUGGCAUCAUCUGAGCUC